This 590-nucleotide long non-coding RNA is filed under the name Equus caballus (horse). Its description in RNAcentral is "lncRNA (ENSECAG00000040425.3)". The record is from RNAcentral. Lineage: Eukaryota; Metazoa; Chordata; Mammalia; Perissodactyla; Equidae.
AAAGAAGAUGGAUGACGCUGCAUACCCAGAGGACGGUUUUCCAAUUACAUUUUCCCGAUAAAUAUUCCUAACAAAGCAGCAGGCAGACUGGAUUCUCUCAGCUUUGGUGCGGAUCCGCCACGAGCAAUGAAAAUCACGAUGUGAACUGAGACACCAAGAGGUAAAGGCCACUGAAAGAAACUGAAAAAUUAGAGGCCUCUUUCUUAGGACUGACGAAUGAAGAUGAGAGCUUAAUGGUGAACAGGAUGGCUGCAGAUCGCUGAGCAGAACCCUCUGUCUGAAGUGGAUUCAGAAAACAAGCUGAGCGGGGAUCGUGACCACAAGCUGACUGCCUGGGUGUGAAGUGAGGACAAGAGCUACCUUAAAGUGUUGAGCAUGUUCUUGCUCUUUUCCACCUUGACGGCUUGACUGCUCCUCAUACUCACGAGCUUCAUCCAGUGAGAGGAGGCCUUUGCUGGCUCCUGUGUCAUGAGGAGGAGAGGUCUGGGGUGAGGCACAAGUGGAUUCUUGUGUAAUAACAGUAGCAGCCAAACAACAUGAUUCUGAAGAUACAAUGAAAUAACUUUGUUGACUGGAGAGUGUUAUAUAAA